This 630-nucleotide long non-coding RNA is filed under the name Salvia miltiorrhiza (redroot sage). Its description in RNAcentral is "long non-coding RNA (SMIL_LNC007547)". Lineage: Eukaryota; Viridiplantae; Streptophyta; Magnoliopsida; Lamiales; Lamiaceae. The record is from RNAcentral.
CUCGUUCAUCUCCAAAUCUCCUCACUCUCCCGCCGCCUCAGUCACUCUCUCUCACUCCCUCGCCCAGCCGCCGCCCGCCGCCCCACCAGUUCGCCCGCCCGCUGCCGGCGAAGGCGAGGACAGCAGCAGCUGCAGAAGACGCGGCACACCGCACACGCCCUUCCUCCUCCAGUUCGCUCGCCGCCCCUCUUUCCCUUCUCGGACCACUCCAGCUCCAGCUCGCCGGCCACCUUCUCGGAGCACUCCAAUUCGUCGGCGGUCGGCCUCACCCUGCCAGCCUCCCUCUCAGUUCGCCGGCGAAGGCGGAGUUACAGGUCGGCGACUCCCUCUUUCACACUCUCUCUUUUACUCUCUGCCCAACUCUCUUUCACACUCUCUCUUUUAUAGCUCUCUCGACGCACGCACGCACCGGUCGCCGCUGCGCCGCACCAUUUUGAUUUUGUUAGAUAAAUUGUUGAUUUCAGCCAUUUUUGAGAGAUUGAGUUUGUUAGAUUCAGUCAUUUCAGCCAUUAAAUUUGUUGAUUUGGGCCAUUGAUUUGGCAGCCAUUUUGUUAGAUUAGAUUAUGGUUUUUGAUUGAGUUUGUUAGAUUCAGCCAUUUCAGAUUGGAUUUAUCGAAAUUUUAUGGUUUU